UACGUAGGGGGCAAGCGUUAUCCGGAUUUACUGGGUGUAAAGGGAGCGUAGACGGCAUGGCAAGUCAGAUGUGAAAGCCCGGGGCUCAACCCCGGGACUGCAUUUGAAACUGUCAGGCUGGAGUGCAGGAGAGGCAAGUGGAAUUCCUAGUGUAGCGGUGAAAUGCGUAGAUAUUAGGAGGAACACCAGUGGCGAAGGCGGCUUACUGGACUGUAACUGACGUUGAGGCUCGAAAGCGUGGGGAGCAAGCAGG
RNAcentral lists this ribosomal RNA (253 nucleotides) under uncultured bacterium. Its description in RNAcentral is "partial 16S ribosomal RNA". It matches the Rfam family "Bacterial small subunit ribosomal RNA", at positions 524 to 776 of the family's 1533-position model. The record is from RNAcentral.